AGUUUCAUGUGAAUCAGUACAUGUAAGCUAUCUCUAAAAUGAAGACUCAGAAGGUGUUUCAAGAGUUUCAGCCAAAACAAAGUUCAGUGCUUGAAAACCAUCAAGGAAGAAGGGCAUUAACAGUGUGUAAAUGCAAUGUAAGCGCAACUUACAACAGCACUAAGUUAACAGAAGAAAAAUGUACUUAGGAGCCUAGAAA
Molecule: long non-coding RNA, 199 nt
Organism: Hyaena hyaena (striped hyena)
Lineage: Eukaryota; Metazoa; Chordata; Mammalia; Carnivora; Hyaenidae
Exons: 3
Source: RefSeq, a predicted model, not a curated record